Long non-coding RNA from Mercenaria mercenaria, 619 nucleotides. RefSeq lists it as uncharacterized. The record is from RefSeq and is a predicted model, not a curated record. Lineage: Eukaryota; Metazoa; Mollusca; Bivalvia; Venerida; Veneridae. The transcript has 2 exons.
AAGUAAUAAAGUGGAAAUGGAACUGUGGUAGCAGUUUUCAUGACGGCGAAUUUUUAUCUGCUGACUUGGAGGGUUUUACAUUCGCUCUCUCUCAAGCGGUACAGCUCACGGGCAAAGCAGGAUCAGACUGGGUAGCUUCACUUAUCACCCAUUUAGGAAAACAAUAUGGGCAAUGAAUUACAGAGAGAGUGGAUCUGUUUUACUGGCUUCUAGAACUGUUUCAAUAGGGGAUGGCAUCUUCAGCUUCACUAUAUAGGAAGUCGUGAUAUUUUGAUAAAACUGUUGCUUGAAUAGUGUAUUUACAAUCGUUUUCUUUAUCAAGUGAUUAAAUUAUGUGUUGUAUACACAUUUCAUUUAUCUUUAUUGUAUUUCUUUCACGAAUAAUUACAACUAAUACUCAAUUCAUAGAUUUGCGCGUUUCUGAUUGGCUGCUUCAGCACACGUGACCAACUUUCAUUUCUCAAUGAAGCCGUCACGUAUUCAUUAGAUCUAAUUAAUAUUCAUAAUUCUACGCACUACUUUUUCGUUUCUGGGUCACGCACUUUCAGUUUCAAUUCGCCGAUUUAGUACAUUUUCUGACCAUAAAUCAUGGAACAAAAAAUAAAUAUAUAAUAGGAAU